Leucoraja erinaceus (little skate) is the source of this 5816-nucleotide long non-coding RNA. RefSeq lists it as uncharacterized. The transcript is spliced from 3 exons. The record is from RefSeq and is a predicted model, not a curated record. Lineage: Eukaryota; Metazoa; Chordata; Chondrichthyes; Rajiformes; Rajidae.
CCUACUGUGGGCAAGAGACUCUGUGCGACUAUUUAUUUAUUUUUUAUUGUAAUGUUAACGGUUUUUUAGUAAUCUCACUUUCUGUUCAGAGAUUUGUGGCGCAGCCUCGGGGAGUUGAGCAUUAAGUCUAGGUUUCUCCUCGACGCUGGUAGAGUGUCGUGUUAUUCUCCUUCUCCUCCUCCUCCUGGGCUUAAGCUUUGCCUCAAGGGAUUUGGGCAUUAAAUCCAUGUUUAGAUGGGUGCUGUGUUGUUGGAUUGGAUGUUUAAUUGGAGUUGAGGGUGUGGGAGGGAGAGUGUCCCACGGUUGUGUGCAAUAUGGUGAGGUGCGUGGGUUCCCAUGGUUCCAACGCCUUUAGACAGUUUAACUAUUCAUUUAUGUCACAAGCUCUCCGUUGGGGACCUGCCGCACAAACUGCCACAAUAAAUACUGAUCGUGCCACAAAGCACUCAAAAACUUGGCUUCCGAAGAAGAGCGUGCGGAGUACAAGUUUUCAUUUUUUGUUGCCUGAAACAUAACAAUUUUUUAAUACAUAUUCACUGCGCAUUAUCUUCCAGCUGCUCAACAUUCUUCCUCUCUUGGAAAGUGAGACGAUAAACCCCAUUAAUCCAAUUAAAGGUGACAUUAAAGCUACAAUUUGACUUAGCAACUUCACCACACUUUGCUUUUUGUAUUGAAACUGCGCCGUGGAUCACCCGAACACCUAUUUAUGAAAGACGAAGAGAUCUAAUUUCAAGUUUCAAAAAGCCAGUUGAUCGUAUUUCCCUGCGUUACGCUGUGCUGAAACUGACAAUGCUGCUUUCCGCACAGUUGUACCCCGCUGACUUGUUGCAACGUCCCACAGUUCACAGCUUGUAGCACGGCAGGUGUGAACUCAGGCAGCCAGCUCUGAAAAUACAAGCAACAUUCUUCCAGCUACAGGGGUGUGGCAGCUGGAAGGGAAAAGAUGCAGCAAUUAUGGGGAAGGAGCUGCAAGACUAUCCCCAGGGGCUCAGAACGAUCUGGACAGGCUGAUAAAGAACAGUGCACACCCGAGGCAUGUGUGGGAAGAGCUAUAAACCUGUCCUAUCCAUGUACAUGUCUAAACCUUUCUUUACGUUGCGAUAAUACCGGCUUCAACUACCUCCUCCGGCAGCUCGGUGGUUGAGGCAGCGCCAUAACAGCAUUUGACAGAUGGACCCCUGGCGAAAGCUGUUGGAUGAGAUGCCUGAAAAUAUGAAUUCCAUGCUGAAACAUUUGCACAAAUGGGAGUAUGAAAUGGUUCCACGGACAGUUUUAGGCAAGGGUAAAAGAAGAUGAAAACUGCAGCUCAGAACAUCAGCCAACUCUUAUCAUUAGGGAAACUCAAUGUUGCUGUUGGCAAGGAAAGCAGAUGGAUUGUUUUCGAUGAAAGCAUUAAACUCAUUCAUCAAGUCAUCGGACUUCUAAGAGGAAAUGUCAACCAAAAGGCAUGUCCUUCGAUUGUCAAAUGUAAACAGAUGAUUAGUUGCUUGGAAAGUCCGACAUGUACCAAUGUGAAGACAAUUGUGAAUAUUUUAAUUGUUUUGCCAUUGAAAAAAAAAGAUGUUUGUUGAAAAAAUUGAGUUUUUAUAUGACAUAAAAUGUUUAUAAUUAUUGAAGACGGUUCUUAUUGUACAAUGUCAUUCAACAUGGAGAUGGGAAGAGGGGCAGGAUUCACGUUAGGUCAAGUCAUACCAAAAUGGCUCAGUGACGCGGCUGGAAGAACUACUACCUCACAGCGCCAGAGAACCAGGUUCGAUCCUGACCUCAGGUGCAGCAUGGAGUUUGCACGUUCUCUCUAUAAUUUGCCCUUUCAUGUGUAGGGGGGUAAAUGUGAAAGUGGGAUAACAUAGAACUAGUGUGAAAAUGCUGGAGUAACUCAGCCGGUCAGGCAGCAUCUCUGGAGAAUAUGGAUAGAUGAUGUUUCGGGUCAGGAAUUGUCCUGAGUGUGUAGGAUAGAACUAGUGUAUGGGUGAUUGCUGGUCGGCAUGAUCUUGGUGGGUCAAUGGGCCUGUUUCCACAUUGUAUAUCUAAACGAAACUCAACUAAACUAAACUAAAGAUAGACACAAAAUGCUGGAGUAACUCAGCGGCUCAGGCAGCAUCUCUGGAGAAAAGGACUAGGUGACAUUUUGGGUUGAAACUCUUCUUCACACUGAGAAUCAGGGGAGAGGGAAACUCGAGGUAUGGCAAGGUUCAGUGAUUUGUUCUGAACCUUUUCAUACCUCUUGUUUCUCUAUUCCUUUUGUCCAGAGAUGCUGCCUGACCCGCUGAGUUACUCCAGAAUUUUGAGUCUAUCUUCAGUGUAAACGAGCAUUUGCAGUUCCUUCCUACACAUCGAACUAAUGGUCGGCAAUGGAGUUGGUGGGCAGAAGGGCCCGUUUCCAUGCUAUAUCUUUGAAUUAAUCAAUCAAAAAUGAGUUUCUGCUGUACAUCAGAAGAAAAAAAUACAGUGUAUGGUCUUUUUUUUUCUAUUUUGGACAACUCUGGUGAUGAGCCUUUCAUAUCUUGCUGUUGGCUGAAAUGCGAAUUAUAGAUCCAUUUAUAAUGCUUUCACCUCAGAAUCGAAGGUUCUAGUCCACUCUAGAGCCUUGAGCACAAACCUCAGCGGAUGCUCACGAGCACUGAGGGAAUGCUGCAGCUUCAGAGAGAAUGAGGCUUCAAUCAAGACUGAAUAACAACUAAAGGUAAAAGAGCAGGAGGAGGCAUUUCAACUUCACGUUCACAACAAGAUCAUGCCUGAUCCUUUCUCUCAGCACCAUUUUUCUGCUCUAUCCCUCGAUCCCUAGAUCCUUCGACCCCUUUGGUAUCCAGAAUUAUAUUAAAAUUCAAGAGAGUGAAGAUGCUGGAAUCUGGUGCAGCUUGAUGUUUCGGAAAUAUAUUAAUUGGUUCUAAAUGCAUUAAUUCCUGAGCCUAUGCUGCCCUCUGGGAUGGAGAAUUCAAACGAAUCACCAUUCUCCUAGUGAAGACAUUUCCUCCCAUUCCAGUCCUAAAUGGCCCAUUCUAAAUGACGUGCUGUGACUUCAAGUCCUAAACUUCAUCUUGGAACAAUCUUCCUCCCCACAACUAUUGUUCCAAGAACUUUAAUAAGGUAACCUCAUACAAGAGUACAGCGUAGGAUCAGGCCCUUCAGCCCAUGAUUCUGUGCUGACCGCAAUGCCAAAUUAAACUAAUCGCUUCUGCCCACACAUGAUCAGUAUCUGUCCAAUUCCCUGCCUGGGAAGGGAAAAUGGGACUGAUCAGAUCACUCCACAAAAAGAUAGCAUAGAUCAAAUGGGCCGAAUGGUUUCCUUCUGUGCCUUCAUGGUUAAAUGAUUAGAUAUAGAUGUUCAGUAAUUGGAGCUUCAGAAUAUGUUCCAAGUGAUUAUCCAUUUCCCCCAGAAGGAUGCUGAAAGAACAGGAUAAGCAGUAACAAGUACAAGUCGUAGCCAUAGACUCAAAUGAUCUUUAAAGCUUGUGAACUCUGCAGAGCAUCAUCAUGACUUGAUCCCACAAUGCAAAAGCAGUCUGUACAUCCAACAUUAGUGAAGAUUUUAUGCUGCAUGGUCCAAACAAAAGAGCAGAGAUGAUAAGAUUAAUUUUGUACCAAAUUCUUAUAGUAAGGUAGGGCAGAGAGCAUUGGGAGUAGGGGGGAACAGGAGGAGACAGAGAGUGGAGGACAGAGGAGGUGGAAGGAAAGAGAGAACAUUUUGACUAGUGACCCACUUCCCACAGAAAGGAAGAAAAUGUUUGAAUUCAUUGUAAAUGCAGUCAUACUUUCCUCCAUUAAGUCCCAGGGCAGCUGGCAAGUGAAUUCAUACGUUCAUAAGUUCUCGGAGUAGAAUGAGGCCAUUCAGACCAAUAAGUCUGCUCUGCCAUUCAAUCAUGGCUGAUCUAUCCUUCCCUCUCAACCCCAUUCUCCUGCUUUCUCCCCAAAACACCCUGAAAAGAUGACCGAGAAAUCCCAUCUCCAGCUAAAUCAUCCAUUCUGUUCCAUUGGAAUCUCAUGCACAUGCAUAGCCACAAAAUAUUAAGUGUGAACUGAUAUAUUAAAGAUAAGCAGGAUUCCCUGAGGGUGCAUUUAUUACCAAGAUAUUUAAGUAUUCACUGUGAAUUAGAGGGGAAGCUGAACACAUGCUCAACCACGAAGCAGGAAAAGACGAAUAACUGGCAGUAAUCCAAGCCCAAUGCAAGGUUUCAGUGAUGUUGGAAACUGUAUCGGCAAAGUGCACGUGCCUUAUAAUUAAGGCAGAUAGGCUUCAGGCACUUUAGGCAACUAAGGCUGUCUGCACGGAGUUUAUACGUUCUCCCCGUAACCACGUGGGUUUUCUCCGGGAGCUCUGGUUUCCUGCAAUAUUCCAGAUGUACAGGUUUGUAGGUUAAUUGGCUUUGAUAAUAAUUGUAAAUUGUCCCUAGUGUGUAGAAUAGUGCGAGGGUAUAAGGUAGGUGAUCGUUGGUCAGUGCCGGUGGGCCGAAGGGCCUGAUGCUCUGCUGUAUCUCUAAACUAAAGUAAACUAAACUAAUCCCAGCUGUCCGAAUUGCUGAGUUCAAGCUAUUUUUCUUUUAAUCUAUGGUGGACCUGGUGUGGCAUGAGUGCCACCUCCCACUUUGCUCCUUGCGCCAUUUAUACUGCAGUACUAGAUGUUACCAAGGACAUCACGGCCUGCGGCUUUAUACAGAAUUAAUUGUGAUGAUGCUUUAUGGUGACUCAUUGCCAGUACUUUGUGAAACAGUGUGCACACAUUCUUCCAAACAGCAAGAAUUGCUGGGCAAAGAGCACAGAGGCGACUGCAUUGCUGCUUCAUGUGGAGAGAGUUUAGACAUACAGCGCAGAAACAGGCCCUUCGGCCCACCAAAUGCGCACCAACCAGCAAACCCCAACACUGUCCUACACACCAGAGACAAUUUAUUUUUACAAUCCAAUUAACCUACCAACCUUCACGUCUUUGGAAUGUGGGAGGAAACCGGAGGGAAACCCACACAGAUCACGGGGAGAAUAUACAAACUCCAUACAGACAGCACCAGUAGUCAGGAUCGAACCUGGGACUCUGGCGCUGUAAGGCAGCAACGCUACCGCUGCGCCACCGUGCUGCCUCAUGCCGUGCUGCCGCCCCAUUGCUGAAACAUUGCUAGAACUAGCCAAGGGCAGCACGGAGGCGCAGCAUUAGAGUUGAAGCCUAACAUCGCCAGAGACCCGGGUUCGAUCCUGACUACUGGUGGUGCUGUCUGUAUGAAGUUUGUACAUAUUCCCCGUGACCACAUGGGUUUUCCCUGAGUGCUCCAGUUUCCCCCACACACCAAAGACGUAUGGGUUUGUAGGAUAAUUGGCUUUGGUAAAAAUUGUAAAUUGUCCCUAGUGUGUGUAGGAUAACGUUAAUGUACAGGGCGAUCACUGGUCGGCGCAGACUCGGUGGACCGAAGGGCCUGUUUCCGUGCUGUAUCUCUAAACUAAACUAAACUUCUGCAGUGAUGUCCUAAAGCUGAACUCACACCUCCAAACCUAGUAAUUACUCCAUUCUAAAUGGGUUUUCAAAAGGACUGCUUUUAAAUCCAGGUAAUUUAGCCACUGUGCUGGACUAGGCUGAAUGCUGUAUUUUCAGCUGAAAGAAUUUGCAUUCGGGUUACAGCAACCUUAAUUAAUUUGUAUAAAGUUCAACGAAUAUCCUUUAUUAUUCCAGAGCGGCAGAUAGAAAGGUGUGCCCUUUUGAGUCCAAUUUAACUCUGGUGCCAAUGUUCAUAGCUGCACACCCGACAUUUUCACAACCUCCCUAGCAACCACAUCCCAGUAUUCAUUAGCCAGCUGCAAGUCAUUUAUUCUAAAUGCAGCAGCAACGCACCCCC